GGUGGCGUGGUUCGUCCACCUUGCUUUCUUUCCACACUUCUCGUGCUUUUUUUCUCCUGUUUUUGCCUCACUAUGUUUUCAUCUGUGUUUCAGUUUCCGCUACUCCUUCCACUUCUUCCGAAAGAGCAGCUGGCAAUCGUCGUCAUCGUCUGGCUAUGCGAGAGCAUACGGCUCUUCUACGGGCCCAUCGACUUUCGAGCCGUUCUCAUGGAGGCAUCCUGCGGAGGUCAGCUUCGAAUAGUCGUCGCCAGGGUCGUCGUCCGCAUUCUGACAUAUGCCGGCAAACUGCUCUUCUUCAGGCAGGUGUUGCUGCUGAUAUUCAGUUGCCUCUUCCUACAAGCUUGGUGAGGUUUCUCAAAGCUGCUUGGCCUGGCAGGUCCUAC
Molecule: long non-coding RNA, 383 nt
Organism: Lolium rigidum
Lineage: Eukaryota; Viridiplantae; Streptophyta; Magnoliopsida; Poales; Poaceae
Exons: 3
Source: RefSeq, a predicted model, not a curated record